Molecule: small nuclear RNA, 163 nt
Organism: Arabidopsis thaliana (thale cress)
Lineage: Eukaryota; Viridiplantae; Streptophyta; Magnoliopsida; Brassicales; Brassicaceae
Source: RefSeq
CAUCUUCUUCUAAAAGCUUUCUAAUCAUUGUCGUUGUAGUUUAAAGUAAUCUUAUUACUCUUAAGUAUCAUCGAUGAGUCAACCCUAUUCUUUCUCAUCUCGAGCUUCUCAGCCUUUCCAGUCAUGAUACUUAGAUUAAGUGUGUCACUUUCACAUAAUCAUC